UUUACGAUGGAGAGUUUGAUCCUGGCUCAGGAUGAACGCUAGCGGCAGGCCUAAUACAUGCAAGUCGAACGGUACGCAAGUACAGUGGCGAACGGGUGCGUAACGCGUAAGGAACCUGCCCCUGAUUGGGGGAUAGCCCGGCGAAAGCUGGGGUAAACCCGCAUAGUUCAAUGAAGUGGCA
RNAcentral lists this ribosomal RNA (181 nucleotides) under Cytophagales bacterium. RNAcentral describes it as "partial 16S ribosomal RNA". It matches the Rfam family "Bacterial small subunit ribosomal RNA", at positions 1 to 191 of the family's 1533-position model. The record is from RNAcentral. Lineage: Bacteria; Pseudomonadati; Bacteroidota; Cytophagia; Cytophagales.